Molecule: long non-coding RNA, 364 nt
Organism: Oncorhynchus tshawytscha (Chinook salmon)
Lineage: Eukaryota; Metazoa; Chordata; Actinopteri; Salmoniformes; Salmonidae
Source: Ensembl
GAUGGUGUGUAGUGGUAGUGUGUGGUGAUGGUGUGUAGUGGUAGUGUGUGGUGAUGGUGAUGGUGUGUAGUGGUAGUGUGUGGUGAUGGUGUGUAGUGGUAGUGUGUGGUGAUGGUGUGUAGUGGUAGUGUGUGGUGAUGUUGAUGGUGUGUAGUGGUAGUGUGUGGUGAUGGUGUGUAGUGGUAGUGUGUGGUGAUGGUGUGUAGUGGUAGUGUGUGGUGAUGGUGUGUAGUGGUAGUGUGUGUGUGAUGGUGUUGUGUAGUGGUAGUGUGUGGUGAUGGUGUGUAGUGGUAGUGUGUGGUGAUGGUGUGUAGUGGUAGUGUGUGGUGAUGGUGUGUAGUGGUAGUGUGUGGUGAUGGUGUGU